UAAUAUAAUUAACAGAUUUAAAUUUUGUUUCUUAUUUAAUUGGAAAAAAAAAUCACAUAACUACAUGGGUCUUUCUUUUGUUAAUUGAAAAAAAAAUUAAAACUUUGUUCCAAGAAUAAUAUAUAUAUCGCACCUAUUAAUUAAAGUAGGUAAAAAUGUAUGGAACUUAUAUAUCCGAACUACAAAUCAUUUGGAUUUAGCUAUCAAACCUUUUAAAAUUUUAAUUUCAUUAUCCAAUCUUUCAAAUUGUUUGAUUUGAAUCAGCUAACGACACUUUUGACUCAAAUUCUAAGUUAAUUACUUACUUUACUGAACUUAUUAUUGUGACAAUUGCACGAAAUAUACUAAUUAAACCUAUAACGACACAUAUAUUUAAGUUUUGAAGUCAAAAUGCAGUUAACUAACUCAAAUUGUAAUAGAAUUAAAAUUUUGAAAGGUUGAGUAGCCAAAUCCAAAUGGACCUAGUCAAGUUCCAUACAAUUUUCCCAUUGAUGUACAAUAAAUUAAAAUUGAAGGCUAAAGUGCAACUGAUUUUAUAGUCCAAGAAUUAGUGUUGCAAUUUACCCUAAAUUUGUAACUACUUGUAAAUUAACGCAUACACCACAUGAGAUGCUCAUAAAAUAUAGGUCUCUUUCGAAAUUAUGGGAAAAAAAUUAUAGACAGAUUGGAAAAUUGAGUUAGUAUGAUGGGAAAAUAAAUUUAAAAAAGCGUUUCAUUUGUUUCUGUACGUAAUAUCAUAUUAUAUAUUUCGCAAUGAGUUGAUUGUGAUAUAUUUUUUGUAAUUCUAUUGAAAAACUAAAAAAAAUAUAUUCCAAUGUACUUUCCGUGCUGCUCCGUUUUGCCUAACAGUACUACAAGAUGAGACUCAACAUGAAACAGGCUGUAGUAGAAUAUUGUAAGGGUUAAUUUCAAACAGACCCUUACAAAGAUAUUAAAUAGCAAAUAUAUUCCUAUAAAAUUUAAGUUAUCAAAUUUUUCUCUUCUAAAAUUCUUUGAUUUACAAAUAUAUCCCUGUAAAAUUUUUGGUUCCUUCAUAUACAUCCCUACCGUUUGAAUACUGUUAGUUUUUUUUAUUAGUGAUUAAUUGGUGCGUAGAAUAGCUAUUUCGCCCUUACAGAUUUGUCUAUGUAGAAAACUAUCGUUCUUGCUCUCUCUCUCUCUCUCUCUCUCUCUCUCUCUCUCUCUCUCUCUCUCUCUCCGCGACACGUGCGGCGUACUUCAUUUUUUCU
This 1229-nucleotide long non-coding RNA is filed under the name Ananas comosus (pineapple). Its description in RNAcentral is "long non-coding RNA (ACOM_LNC003027)". The record is from RNAcentral. Lineage: Eukaryota; Viridiplantae; Streptophyta; Magnoliopsida; Poales; Bromeliaceae.